UGGAAUUGCUAGUAAUCACAGGUCAGCAUACUGUGGUGAAUACGUUCCCGGGCCUUGUACACACCGCCCGUCACACCAUGAGAGUUGAGAAUACCCGAAGCCCAUGUCAAGGUGGUCGAAGGUAGGCUUGAUGAUUGGGGUGAAGUCGUAACAAGGUACC
Molecule: ribosomal RNA, 160 nt
Filed under: uncultured bacterium
Lineage: Bacteria
Description: partial 16S ribosomal RNA
Rfam family: Bacterial small subunit ribosomal RNA
Source: RNAcentral